RNAcentral lists this long non-coding RNA (331 nucleotides) under Chinchilla lanigera (long-tailed chinchilla). RNAcentral's name for it is "lncRNA (ENSCLAG00000022816.1)". The record is from RNAcentral. Lineage: Eukaryota; Metazoa; Chordata; Mammalia; Rodentia; Chinchillidae.
CACAACUUCUGGGACUUGAAUGAGAGAAAGGAUUUAACAUGUCCUGAGAAUGAGCUUCCCCUCCGAGAUUGCUCUGCAGCUGAGCAGCACUGUGGACACCUGUGAUGGGCUCCCGCUCAGGAGACCCCCACCGCUGCUGGACCUCAGGGCUCCUGGGACUCAUUGGUCUCCUCAAGGGAUGUUUUAUGAUGGGAACCAUACAUAUCUCAUGGAGCCUGAAGAAAAGGAGACCUCCCCAGAGGAUUUCCAUUUCCAUUUAGUCUACAAAUCCAGAGUGUUUGAAUUUCCCUUGGAUGACCUUCCAUCUGGUAUGGUGCAUGUAUAGUGGCUU